GACGAACGCUGGCGGCGUGCUUAACACAUGCAAGUCGAACGGAAAGGCCCUGCUUUUGUGGGGUGCUCGAGUGGCGAACGGGUGAGUAACACGUGAGUAACCUGCCCUUGACUUUGGGAUAACUUCAGGAGACUGGGGCUAAUACCGGAUAGGAGCUCCUGCUGCAUGGUGGGGGUUGGAAAGUUUCGGCGGUUGGGGAUGGACUCGCGGCUUAUCAGCUUGUUGGUGGGGUAGUGGCUUACCAAGGCUUUGACGGGUAGCCGGCCUGAGAGGGUGACCGGCCACAUUGGGACUGAGAUACGGCCCAGACUCCUACGGGAGGCAGUAGUGGGGAAUAUUGCACAAUGGGCGGAAGCCUGAUGCAGCAACGCCGCGUGCGGGAUGACGGCCUUCGGGUUGUAAACCGCUUUCGCCUGUGACGAAGCGUGAGUGACGGUAAUGGGUAAAGAAGCACCGGCUAACUACGUG
RNAcentral lists this ribosomal RNA (468 nucleotides) under uncultured bacterium. RNAcentral's name for it is "partial 16S ribosomal RNA". It matches the Rfam family "Bacterial small subunit ribosomal RNA", at positions 28 to 507 of the family's 1533-position model. The record is from RNAcentral.